UGUUCCCUAGCACACAUUGCAUACCUUACUGUCCUGGAAGGAGGAGUCCUGUCUACAGAGACGUUCACAAGAUUUCAGUUUUUCUUGAAGGGACUUUAGCAGAAAUUCUCCCUUGUUUUCACUGAGAGUCCAUAGUUGUAGUUCAACAUCUUAAGUGAUCGUUUCAUGGUACUAGAUGUUGUAAACAAAUUUCUUUCUUUCAAGAUGUGGAUGUGGAUCUUGAUUGGUCUUUGCUUCAUCUCAAAGGUGCAAGGGUUUGCAAACCGUCCCUUCCCACAGUCGUGUCAUUCAAUGUUACCUGAGCACAGGGACAGAACAAAUAAUCUUGUUAAUCCCCAGAGCUCUGAACUACCCUUUGAGGUCCAUUACGAACUUGGGAAUGAUGGAGAGCCUAUUACAGUUUUUCUUAGAAGCAACAACACCACUAAAUUCCGGGGAUUUUUGUUGGAGGCUCGAAAGACAGGCAAUCUUGAGCGUUCUGUUGGAAAAUUUAUCAUACUUGAUUCUUCUACGACUCAAUUCCAGUCAUGCAAUGGAU
Seriola dumerili (greater amberjack) is the source of this 538-nucleotide long non-coding RNA. RefSeq lists it as uncharacterized. NCBI's taxonomy places the organism in Eukaryota, Metazoa, Chordata, Actinopteri, Carangiformes, Carangidae. The record is from RefSeq and is a predicted model, not a curated record. The transcript has 3 exons.